UCGAGAAUCUUCGGCAAUGGACGAAAGUCUGACCGAGCGACGCCGCGUGCGGGAUGAAGGCCUUCGGGUUGUAAACCGCUGUCAGAGGGGAGGAAAGCUUCGGCUUGACUGAACCUCAGAGGAAGCACGGGCUAAGUUCGUGCCAGCAGCCGCGGUAACACGAACCGUGCGAACGUUAUUCGGAAUCACUGGGCUUAAAGGGUGCGUAGGCGGCUUUGCAAGUGGGAUGUGAAAUCCCUCAGCUCAACUGAGGAACUGCGUUCCAAACUGCAAAGCUAGAGGGAGACAGAGGUAAGCGGAACUGAUGGUGGAGCGGUGAAAUGCGUUGAUAUCAUCAGGAACACCAGUGGCGAAGGCGGCUUACUGGGUCUCUUCUGACGCUGAGGCACGAAAGCUAGGGUAGCGAACGGG
RNAcentral lists this ribosomal RNA (411 nucleotides) under uncultured bacterium. Its description in RNAcentral is "bacterial SSU rRNA". It matches the Rfam family "Bacterial small subunit ribosomal RNA", at positions 355 to 776 of the family's 1533-position model. The record is from RNAcentral.